This is a non-coding RNA of Pelobates cultripes (western spadefoot toad), 782 nucleotides long. The record is from the annotation of a GenBank genome assembly. NCBI's taxonomy places the organism in Eukaryota, Metazoa, Chordata, Amphibia, Anura, Pelobatidae.
GCUUGCAGAUCUAGCCCAGACUUUCCGUGGUGUUCCAAUCCUUUCAUGGCAUGGACCAAAGUGGUCUGUUGACAAUGUUAUUGACCCUUCAUUUGGGCUUGCAAAUCAGUCACUGUCUUAUUCCUCAUAAGCAGGGCCGGUGCAAAGAUAUCUGCCGCCCUAGGCAAAGAUACAUUUUGCCGCCCCUCAUGUCGUUAACUCACUGACGGACACACACACACACUCACUGACUGACAUACAUACACUCACUCACAGACACUUACUGACAUACAUACACACACAGACACUCACUGACAGACAUACUCACUGACAAACACACACACACGGUGUGAGGGCAGCCUCUCACUCCUCCAGCGUGCCGUUUAGUAUGCCAGGGCUGGAAUUAUGUCAUAUUCCGGCUCCCGGCAUUACAGAGGAUGCGCGAGGGAGGAGUGAGAGGCUACAAGAACAGCCUCCCUCACCGUCUUCCUGCUCCGUCCCUUCUCGUCCGGGCACCGGCAUUUUUUGGCAGAGCAGGCACCGGUCAUCAAGGUAAGCAGGUGCCUGGUUCGGGGGUGCCCUGACAUGGCCAGAUGGCCACCUCCUGGCCUACCCUGUGACAGGGAUCCUCUCGGCACCCCCACCAUCGGGCACCUUGAGGAUCAGCCCGGCGCUGGGGGCAGCUCAAGAGCUGCUCCCCCCAGUGCUGUGGCCCCAGACAGGCCGGCGCCCUAGGCGAAUGCCUAGUUCAUGCUCAUAAGUAACAUUACUGACCAAGUAGUCUUACAGGAAAUCAAUCUUCA